GGAAUAUUGGUCAAUGGGCGAGAGCCUGAACCAGCCAUGCCGCGUGCAGGAUGACGGCCUUCUGGGUUGUAAACUGCUUUUCUACAGGAAGAGAAAGGUCAUGCGUGACAAAUUGCCGGUAUUGUAGGAAUAAGCACCGGCUAACUCCGUGCCAGCAGCCGCGGUAAUCCGGAGGGUGCAAGCGUUGGCCGGAUUUAUUGGGUUUAAAGGGUGCGUAGGCGGAAUUUUAAGUCAGUGGUGAAAGCCCACAGCUCAACUGUGGAACUGCCAUUGAUACUGGGAUUCUUGAAUUCAGUUAAGGUAGGCGGAAUUGAUGGUGUGGCGGUGAAAUGCAUAGAUACCAUCAGGAACACCGAUUGCGAAGGCAGCUUACUGGGCUUGAAUUGACGCUGAGGCACGAAAGCGUGGGGAGCG
RNAcentral lists this ribosomal RNA (414 nucleotides) under uncultured bacterium. RNAcentral's name for it is "bacterial SSU rRNA". It matches the Rfam family "Bacterial small subunit ribosomal RNA", at positions 358 to 770 of the family's 1533-position model. The record is from RNAcentral.